GACGAACGCUGGCGGCGUGCCUAAUACAUGCAAGUAGAACGCACAGUUUAUACCGUAGCUUGCUACACCAUAGACUGUGAGUUGCGAACGGGUGAGUAACGCGUAGGUAACCUGCCUGGUAGCGGGGGAUAACUAUUGGAAACGAUAGCUAAUACCGCAUAAUAUUAAUUAUUGCAUGAUAAUUAAUUGAAAGGUGCAAUUGCACCACUACCAGAUGGACCUGCGUUGUAUUAGCUAGUAGGUGAGGUAACGGCUCACCUAGGCGACGAUACAUAGCCGACCUGAGAGGGUGAUCGGCCACACUGGGACUGAGACACGGCCCAGACUCCUACGGGAGGCAGCAGUAGGGAAUCUUCGGCAAUGGACGAAAGUCUGACCGAGCAACGCCGCGUGAGUGAAGAAGGUUUUCGGAUCGUAAAGCUCUGUUGUAAGAGAAGAACGGGUGUGAGAGGGAAAGUUC
RNAcentral lists this ribosomal RNA (460 nucleotides) under Streptococcus gordonii. Its description in RNAcentral is "bacterial SSU rRNA". It matches the Rfam family "Bacterial small subunit ribosomal RNA", at positions 28 to 465 of the family's 1533-position model. The record is from RNAcentral. Lineage: Bacteria; Bacillati; Bacillota; Bacilli; Lactobacillales; Streptococcaceae.